RNAcentral lists this ribosomal RNA (465 nucleotides) under Vreelandella stevensii. RNAcentral's name for it is "partial 16S ribosomal RNA". It matches the Rfam family "Bacterial small subunit ribosomal RNA", at positions 338 to 795 of the family's 1533-position model. Lineage: Bacteria; Pseudomonadati; Pseudomonadota; Gammaproteobacteria; Oceanospirillales; Halomonadaceae. The record is from RNAcentral.
CCUACGGGAGGCAUCAGUGGGGAAUAUUGGACAAUGGGCGAAAGCCUGAUCCAGCCAUGCCGCGUGUGUGAAGAAGGCCUUCGGGUUGUAAAGCACUUUCAGUGGGGAAGAAAGCCUUGGGGCUAAUACCCUCGAGGAAGGACAUCACCCACAGAAGAAGCACCGGCUAACUCCGUGCCAGCAGCCGCGGUAAUACGGAGGGUGCGAGCGUUAAUCGGAAUGACUGGGCGUAAAGCGCGCGUAGGCGGUCUGAUAAGCCGGUUGUGAAAGCCCCGGGCUCAACCUGGGAACGGCAUCCGGAACUGUCAGGCUAGAGUGCAGGAGAGGAAGGUAGAAUUCCCGGUGUAGCGGUGAAAUGCGUAGAGAUCGGGAGGAAUACCAGUGGCGAAGGCGGCCUUCUGGACUGACACUGACGCUGAGGUGCGAAAGCGUGGGUAGCAAACAGGAUUAGAUACCCCGGUAGUC